This 90-nucleotide transfer RNA is filed under the name Planctomycetota bacterium. RNAcentral's name for it is "tRNA-Ser". It matches the Rfam family "tRNA". Rfam says of the family: Transfer RNA (tRNA) molecules are approximately 80 nucleotides in length. Their secondary structure includes four short double-helical elements and three loops (D, anti-codon, and T loops). Further hydrogen bonds mediate the characteristic L-shaped molecular structure. tRNAs have two regions of fundamental functional importance: the anti-codon, which is responsible for specific mRNA codon recognition, and the 3' end, to which the tRNAs corresponding amino acid is attached (by aminoacyl-tRNA synthetases). tRNAs cope with the degeneracy of the genetic code in two manners: having more than one tRNA (with a specific anti-codon) for a particular amino acid; and 'wobble' base-pairing, i.e. permitting non-standard base-pairing at the 3rd anti-codon position. Lineage: Bacteria; Pseudomonadati; Planctomycetota. The record is from RNAcentral.
GGAGAGGUGGCUGAGUGGUCGAAAGCACCGGCUUGCUAAGCCGGCGUACCCUUUGGGGUACCGCGGGUUCGAAUCCCGCCCUCUCCGCCA